GGGGAAUAUUGCACAAUGGGGGAAACCCUGAUGCAGCAACGCCGCGUGAGCGAUGAAGGCCUUCGGGUCGUAAAGCUCUGUCUUCGCUGACGAUAAUGACGGCAAGCGAGGAGGAAGCCACGGCUAACUACGUGCCAGCAGCCGCGGUAAUACGUAGGUGGCAAGCGUUGUCCGGAAUUAUUGGGCGUAAAGGGUGCGUAGGCGGUUUUUUAAGUGGGAUGUGAAAUACUAGGGCACAACCUUAGAAUUGCAUUCCAAACUGGAAGGCUAGAGUGCAGGAGAGGAAAGCGGAAUUCCCAGUGUAGCGGUGAAAUGCGUAGAGAUUGGGAGGAACACCAGUGGCGAAGGCGGCUUUCUGGACUGUAACUGACGCUGAGGCACGAAAGCGUGGAGAGCAAAC
Molecule: ribosomal RNA, 400 nt
Filed under: uncultured bacterium
Lineage: Bacteria
Description: bacterial SSU rRNA
Rfam family: Bacterial small subunit ribosomal RNA
Source: RNAcentral